This 564-nucleotide ribosomal RNA is filed under the name uncultured crenarchaeote. RNAcentral's name for it is "bacterial SSU rRNA". It matches the Rfam family "Archaeal small subunit ribosomal RNA", at positions 908 to 1472 of the family's 1478-position model. Lineage: Archaea; Thermoproteati; Thermoproteota. The record is from RNAcentral.
GGAGUCACGCCAGAAAUCUUACCCGGAGAGACAGCAGAAUGAAGGUCAAGCUGAAGACUUUACCAGACAAGCUGAGAGGUGGUGCAUGGCCGUCGCCAGCUCGUGCCGUGAGAUGUCCUGUUAAGUCAGGUAACGAGCGAGAUCCCUGCCUCUAGUUGCCACCAUUACUCUCAGGAGUAGUGGGGCGAAUUAGCGGGACCGCCGCAGUUAAUGCGGAGGAAGGAAGGGGCCACGGCAGGUCAGUAUGCCCCGAAACUCUGGGGUCACACGCGGGCUGCAAUGGUAGCGACAAUUGGUUUCGAAUCCGAAAGGAUGAGGUAAUCCACAAACGCUACCACAGUUAUGACUGAGGGCUGCAACUCGCCCUCACGAAUAUGGAAUCCCUAGUAACUGCGUGUCAUUAUCGCGCGGUGAAUACGUCCCUGCUCCUUGCACACACCGCCCGUCGUUUCAUUGAAGUGAGCUUUUAGCGAGGUGACGUCUGAUUGGCGUUAUCGAACUUGAGGUUCGUGACAAGGGAAAAGUCGUAACAAGGUGACCGUAGGGGAACCUGCGGUCGGAUCA